AGGACGAACGCUGGCGGCGUGCUUAACACAUGCAAGUCGAGCGGAAAGGCCCUUCGGGGUACUCGAGCGGCGAACGGGUGAGUAACACGUGAGUAAUCUGCCCCUAGCUCUGGGAUAGCUCCGGGAAACCGGGAUUAAUACCGGGAUACGACUGCUACGGACAUCUGUGGUGGUGGAAAGAACUUCGGGCUAGGGAUGAGCUCGCGGCCUAUCAGCUUGUUGGUGGGGUAACGCCUACCAAGGCGACGACGGGUA
RNAcentral lists this ribosomal RNA (255 nucleotides) under uncultured bacterium. Its description in RNAcentral is "partial small subunit ribosomal RNA". It matches the Rfam family "Bacterial small subunit ribosomal RNA", at positions 26 to 285 of the family's 1533-position model. The record is from RNAcentral.